AUAAUCAAUCUUUUUUACCCCCCUGGACUGAUAGAACUUACUUUGUCUGGAGGAAGAAGGGCUUAAAGUCCAUCAAAGACCUUUAUGUUUAGGGAAGGUUUGCAUCCUUUAGCCAGUUAAGAGAGAAAUUUGAUUUGUCUCAUGCACACUUCUUUCGUCAUCUACAAAUUAGCCAUUAUGUAAAGCCCAAAAUUGGUUUGUUUAUUUGAAAGCUGCCAAUACUGAGAGAUUUAAAGCAGCCUAGGAGGAAGACCUGGGAGCUCUCUGACGAUAUGUGGGAUAAGUGUCUGGCUACGAUACAGUGUGUGACCGGUGCAAGCUGGCAGAGGAUGCAACUUCUCAUGGCUACCUAGUGGCUACUCUGAGGCUAAAGCUGUACAUCUUUCUGGGCACCUUGACUGAUUGAUUUGUAGGUUUUUACUAUUGUACUUUUGGCUACUGAACCAAAUAUUUAUUGUCAUUAUCAUUAUAAUUUAAUUAUUAUUAUUAUAGGUUUUUUUCUCUGCUUGUGUGGUCCGAGACAGUGUUGUUUGUCUGUUCUGUGUUUAUUUUUGAAAAACCCUUAAAAAUAAAGUAUUCCAAAAAUUGUUUUUAUUGCAAAUCCGCUUGCCAUAGUAGGCCAUGUAUUGACGAUUAGAGGACACCACGUGGCAGCUGUUGGACACUACACAUUAAACGAUCUGGUGGUAAAACAUAUCAACAUGCAUCUCCUUUACUAAAUGUUAUGUCUUCCUCUUUCAGACUCAAUAAUGUCAGACUAAAUCUGCAUUUUGAAUAAAGCAAACAAUAAGCAGUGAGGUCUGUUGCUGUUUGGAUCUGUGGAAGACGCAAGUUCAAAUAAUGAUGAAUCCUUAUAAACUGAAAAAAGU
Molecule: long non-coding RNA, 869 nt
Organism: Cyprinus carpio carpio
Lineage: Eukaryota; Metazoa; Chordata; Actinopteri; Cypriniformes; Cyprinidae
Source: Ensembl